Long non-coding RNA from Melitaea cinxia (Glanville fritillary), 136 nucleotides. RefSeq lists it as uncharacterized. The transcript has 2 exons. The record is from RefSeq and is a predicted model, not a curated record. Lineage: Eukaryota; Metazoa; Arthropoda; Insecta; Lepidoptera; Nymphalidae.
GAUUCUUCACACUACGUUUCACACACAUCGCUAAACUGGUGACCCCGACCAUGAACAUCAACGCAGCCUUCGCAAGCUACGUCAUCAUGACGUCAUCAUCACUUGACCCCGAGCAUGAACAUCAGCGCAACCUUCA